Molecule: ribosomal RNA, 331 nt
Filed under: uncultured Pseudomonadota bacterium
Lineage: Bacteria; Pseudomonadati; Pseudomonadota
Description: bacterial SSU rRNA
Rfam family: Bacterial small subunit ribosomal RNA
Source: RNAcentral
AUUGAACGCUGGCGGUAUGCCUAACACAUGCAAGUCGAACGGCAGCACAGUAAAGAUUUCGGUCUUUAUGGGUGGCGAGUGGCGGACGGGUGAGUAAUGCAUCGGAACGUGCCCAGUCGUGGGGGAUAACGUAGCGAAAGUUACGCUAAUACCGCAUACGACCUGAGGGUGAAAGUGGGGGACCGCAAGGCCUCACGCGAUUGGAGCGGCCGAUGUCAGAUUAGCUAGUUGGUGGGGUAAAGGCCUACCAAGGCGACGAUCUGUAGCGGGUCUGAGAGGAUGAUCCGCCACACUGGGACUGAGACACGGCCCAGACUCCUACGGGAGGCUG